AUGGCAACUCUCAGUUUUGCUGUAGUUACACUGAGGCGCCUCUCUGGCUGACUUUAGUAGUAUGAAAAGAUAAACUGUUUUACUUUCUAAUGAUGAGUCUUAAGUUUGCCAAAAGAGCAACUUCAUGAUUCAGAUUUGUGAAAGGUAAAAAUUUGUCAGCCUUUUCAGGUUUCCCCCAAGAGAAGAUAAUCUUUCACAAUGCUAGUGUUAGUUGAUUGAGGUUGAAUUGAGCUCUUUUGGCACAUUUAAGGACAUCUGAAAUCUAAACCCUGAUUGGCUUUUGCUGCACAGUAUCAAGCAGAUUUGUUGCUCAAGUUGAAAUAUGUUUUAUCUAGAUGGGAUUGUUAGCUGCACUUGCACACAGAAAUCAGUGUAAAGUGAUAAAUCAAUUGUUGUCAGAUUGCUGCUGAUGUGGGAGCUGGAAUGUUGUUACAGUGGAUUGUGUUCAGCCUGCUUUUGCUCCCAACACAGGCUGUUUUUCCUGCUUAAACCAAAGCCUGCUGUUAUUUGAGAGAAGGUCCAGACUGUACUCCUUGUUCUAUUAUUCAUAAUGACCUCAUUCAAAGAUUCUGCUUCAAAUUGUGAAUUUUGCAGGCAGUUGACACGCUCUUGGGUAUUGCAAAUGUUUUCAGAUACUGUUAGUAGUACAAUUGUUUAAAUGGAGAGCAAAAGCGGUGGACUGGAUCCUUGAUCUGACAGUGAUAUGGCUUUUUAUCAAAUACGUUAAACAGACAUCUGCUUGCAAGUGGUACUAACAGUCUGCUUUUAGACUUCACCUCUUAACUCAAAUCCAGUUCUUGCUUCACAAGUUGCUAGUCAGACUGCAAAUACAGGCAGCACAGGUUAGAAGAAGUCUGGGGCAGACGUAUUUUAUCACUAACUCCCUCACUCAAAACUCCCAGGAAUAUACAGUUGUAGUUUUGAGAUAGAGAGAGAGACACAUUCGCUCCAUGAGGAAGCACUUGGUAACAGUGGCAAGGAAAAAGUCUCUUAACACGCAGAAACCUUGAGCAGAACCAGGCUCAUGGUUGAACAGCCAUCUGCCGUGACUGGGUGUGUUACAAAAAACAUACACCCUGACAGACAGAGAGAUAUACAGACAAAAAUAAUCACAAGAAAAUAAGGACUUAUCAGUGCUGCAAGUUGUCCAGAACACUCUGGUACGCAAUAUGGCCACUUCUAAAUUCAACUCCUUGGCGUACUGGGACUCUUACCGGUGUACCAGGACUUCCUGCCAGCUGCUAGUACCCUUUCCUGUCCUCUUCAUACAACAGUUCCUCUUGGCGAUUCUUACCGGCAACCAAAAUACGUUACCCAUGGCGCACUGUGUGACGCUCGCAUCCUCAUGUGGACAUUACAUCAUGAUGCUCAUUCUGUUUGCAACGGCAAGUCAAGUCAAGUUAAUGCUACCUCCCAAGUCUCUGACUGGAAAAGGGCACAAAGAGGACAGGAACUGAAGCAGAGCUGGAUGAUGACACAGCCACUCUCCUCUCCUAUCCAUGUCUGUUUUUGUUUUGUGAUGGAAGUGGAGUCAACUCGCUUUCAUCGCUCUCUGGUUAAGUCCUCCAGUGAAGCCCCUGAUGACUCCUUUCCACCAGGGAUGCAGAAGUUAUUUGUUUGUGUGACAGACUGAAGGCUUUUCAAUGAAUACAUGUUGUGGAAAUCA
Long non-coding RNA from Notolabrus celidotus (New Zealand spotty), 1666 nucleotides. RefSeq lists it as uncharacterized. The record is from RefSeq and is a predicted model, not a curated record. The transcript is spliced from 2 exons. NCBI's taxonomy places the organism in Eukaryota, Metazoa, Chordata, Actinopteri, Labriformes, Labridae.